AAUCCCAAAUCUCAUCAGCUCCUAGCUGUUGGCACCACGACUCACUAAAAGCAGGCAGAAUGGCCUUUCACUCUACUCUUCUUGUUUUCUUAGCUGGACUGGUAUUUCUCUCUGAAGCUGCACCACUGGUCUCCCAUGGCUCUGUUGAUUCCAAAUGCCCUCUCAUGGUGAAAGUGCUGGAUGCAGUCAGAGGAAGUCCUGCAGCUAAUGUAGCUGUUAAAGUCUUUAAAAA
Meleagris gallopavo (turkey) is the source of this 232-nucleotide non-coding RNA. The record is from RefSeq and is a predicted model, not a curated record. NCBI's taxonomy places the organism in Eukaryota, Metazoa, Chordata, Aves, Galliformes, Phasianidae.